CCUACGGGUGGCAGCAGUGGGGAAUAUUGCACAAUGGGCGAAAGCCUGAUGCAGCAACGCCGCGUGAGCGAUGAAGGCCUUCGGGUCGUAAAGCCCUGUCCUCAAGGAAGAUAAUGACGGAGCGUGAGUGUUAACCCUCGGCCAACUACGAGCCAGCAGCCGCGGUAAUACGUAGGGGGAUAGCGUGAUCCGGAUUUACUGGGCGAAAGGUGAGCGGAGGUGGUUUCUUAAGUAAGGGGUGAAAGGCUACGGUUCAACCGUAGUAAGCCUUUGAAACUGGGGAACUUGAGUGCAGAAGAGGAGAGUGGAAUUCCAAGUGUAGCGGUGAAAUGCGUAGAUAUUAGGAGGAACACCAGUUGCGAAGGCGGCUCUCUGGACUGUAACUGACACUGAGGCACGAAAGCGUGGGGAGCAAACAGGAUUAGAUACCCGAGUAGUC
This 439-nucleotide ribosomal RNA is filed under the name uncultured bacterium. Its description in RNAcentral is "partial 16S ribosomal RNA". It matches the Rfam family "Bacterial small subunit ribosomal RNA", at positions 338 to 795 of the family's 1533-position model. The record is from RNAcentral.